This 263-nucleotide unclassified non-coding RNA is filed under the name uncultured fungus. Its description in RNAcentral is "sequence contains 5.8S rRNA gene". The stretch from base 1 to 53 matches the Rfam family "5.8S ribosomal RNA", at positions 102 to 154 of the family's 154-position model. The record is from RNAcentral. Lineage: Eukaryota; Fungi.
GAACGCAUCUUGCGCUCCUUGGUAUUCUGAGGAGCAUGCCUGUUUGAGUGUCAUUAAAUUCUCAACCACACUGACUUUUGAUUGGUGUUGGGCGUCUUUUGUCUCCAGUUCGCUGGAGACUCGCCUUAAAGUCAUUGGCAGCCGGCCUACUGGUUUCGGAGCGCAGCACAAGUCGCGCUCUUCGCCAGCCAAGGUCAGCGUCCAGCAAGCCUUUUUUUCAACCUUUGACCUCGGAUCAGGUAGGGAUACCCGCUGAACUUAAG